Molecule: ribosomal RNA, 494 nt
Filed under: uncultured bacterium
Lineage: Bacteria
Description: partial 16S ribosomal RNA
Rfam family: Bacterial small subunit ribosomal RNA
Source: RNAcentral
GACGAACGCUGGCGGCGUGCCUAAUACAUGCAAGUUGAGCGCUGAAGGUUGGUACUUGUACCAACUGGAUGAGCAGCGAACGGGUGAGUAACGCGUGGGGAAUCUGCCUUUGAGCGGGGGACAACAUUUGGAAACGAAUGCUAAUACCGCAUAAAAACUUUAAACACAAGUUUUAAGUUUGAAAGAUGCAAUUGCAUCACUCAAAGAUGAUCCCGCGUUGUAUUAGCUAGUUGGUGAGGUAAAGGCUCACCAAGGCGAUGAUACAUAGCCGACCUGAGAGGGUGAUCGGCCACAUUGGGACUGAGACACGGCCCAAACUCCUACGGGAGGCAGCAGUAGGGAAUCUUCGGCAAUGGACGAAAGUCGGACCGAGCAACGCCGCGUGAGUGAAGAAGGUUUUCGGAUCGUAAAACUCUGUUGGUAGAGAAGAACGUUGGUGAGAGUGGAAAGCUCAUCAAGUGACGGUAACUACCCAGAAAGGGACGGCUAACUAC